GUCUACGGCCAUGCCACCCUGAACAAGCCCGAUCCCAUCUCAUCUCGAAAGCUGAGCAGGGUCAGGCCUGGUUAGUACUUAGAUGGGAGAUCACCUAGGAAGACUAGGUGCUGUAGGCG
RNAcentral lists this ribosomal RNA (119 nucleotides) under Pteropus alecto (black flying fox). The record is from RNAcentral. Lineage: Eukaryota; Metazoa; Chordata; Mammalia; Chiroptera; Pteropodidae. RNAcentral also lists the same sequence under 1 other name.